Molecule: ribosomal RNA, 1134 nt
Filed under: Salmonella enterica
Lineage: Bacteria; Pseudomonadati; Pseudomonadota; Gammaproteobacteria; Enterobacterales; Enterobacteriaceae
Also listed under: 2 other names
Description: bacterial SSU rRNA
Rfam family: Bacterial small subunit ribosomal RNA
Source: RNAcentral
GAAGAGUUUGAUCAUGGCUCAGAUUGAACGCUGGCGGCAGGCCUAACACAUGCAAGUCGAACGGUAACAGGAAGCAGCUUGCUGCUUUGCUGACGAGUGGCGGACGGGUGAGUAAUGUCUGGGAAACUGCCUGAUGGAGGGGGAUAACUACUGGAAACGGUGGCUAAUACCGCAUAACGUCGCAAGACCAAAGAGGGGGACCUUCGGGCCUCUUGCCAUCAGAUGUGCCCAGAUGGGAUUAGCUUGUUGGUGAGGUAACGGCUCACCAAGGCGACGAUCCCUAGCUGGUCUGAGAGGAUGACCAGCCACACUGGAACUGAGACACGGUCCAGACUCCUACGGGAGGCAGCAGUGGGGAAUAUUGCACAAUGGGCGCAAGCCUGAUGCAGCCAUGCCGCGUGUAUGAAGAAGGCCUUCGGGUUGUAAAGUACUUUCAGCGGGGAGGAAGGUGUUGUGGUUAAUAACCGCAGCAAUUGACGUUACCCGCAGAAGAAGCACCGGCUAACUCCGUGCCAGCAGCCGCGGUAAUACGGAGGGUGCAAGCGUUAAUCGGAAUUACUGGGCGUAAAGCGCACGCAGGCGGUCUGUCAAGUCGGAUGUGAAAUCCCCGGGCUCAACCUGGGAACUGCAUUCGAAACUGGCAGGCUUGAGUCUUGUAGAGGGGGGUAGAAUUCCAGGUGUAGCGGUGAAAUGCGUAGAGAUCUGGAGGAAUACCGGUGGCGAAGGCGGCCCCCUGGACAAAGACUGACGCUCAGGUGCGAAAGCGUGGGGAGCAAACAGGAUUAGAUACCCUGGUAGUCCACGCCGUAAACGAUGUCUACUUGGAGGUUGUGCCCUUGAGGCGUGGCUUCCGGAGCUAACGCGUUAAGUAGACCGCCUGGGGAGUACGGCCGCAAGGUUAAAACUCAAAUGAAUUGACGGGGGCCCGCACAAGCGGUGGAGCAUGUGGUUUAAUUCGAUGCAACGCGAAGAACCUUACCUGGUCUUGACAUCCACAGAACUUUCCAGAGAUGGAUUGGUGCCUUCGGGAACUGUGAGACAGGUGCUGCAUGGCUGUCGUCAGCUCGUGUUGUGAAAUGUUGGGUUAAGUCCCGCAACGAGCGCAACCCUUAUCCUUUGUUGCCAGCGAUUAGG